Molecule: ribosomal RNA, 759 nt
Filed under: uncultured Neisseriaceae bacterium
Lineage: Bacteria; Pseudomonadati; Pseudomonadota; Betaproteobacteria; Neisseriales; Neisseriaceae
Description: bacterial SSU rRNA
Rfam family: Bacterial small subunit ribosomal RNA
Source: RNAcentral
AUUGAACGCUGGCGGCAUGCUUUACACAUGCAAGUCGGACGGCAGCAUAAAAGAGCUUGCUCUUUUGAUGGCGAGUGGCGAACGGGUGAGUAAUGCAUCGGAACGUACCGAGUAGUGGGGGAUAACUGUCCGAAAGGAUGGCUAAUACCGCAUACUCUCUGAGGAGGAAAGCAGGGGACCUUAGGGCCUUGCGCUAUUUGAGCGGCCGAUGUCUGAUUAGCUAGUUGGUGGGGUAAGAGCCCACCAAGGCGACGAUCAGUAGCGGGUCUGAGAGGAUGAUCCGCCACACUGGGACUGAGACACGGCCCAGACUCCUACGGGAGGCAGCAGUGGGGAAUUUUGGACAAUGGGCGCAAGCCUGAUCCAGCCAUGCCGCGUGUAUGAAGAAGGCCUUCGGGUUGUAAAGUACUUUUGUCAGGGAAGAAAAGCCUGAGGAUAACACCCUCAGGUCAUGACGGUACCUGAAGAAUAAGCACCGGCUAACUACGUGCCAGCAGCCGCGGUAAUACGUAGGGUGCGAGCGUUAAUCGGAAUUACUGGGCGUAAAGCGAGCGCAGACGGUUAUUUAAGCAAGAUGUGAAAGCCCCGGGCUCAACCUGGGAACUGCGUUUUGAACUGGGUAACUAGAGUGUGUCAGAGGGGGGUAGAAUUCCACGUGUAGCAGUGAAAUGCGUAGAGAUGUGGAGGAAUACCGAUGGCGAAGGCAGCCCCCUGGGAUAACACUGACGUUCAUGCUCGAAAGCGUGGGUAGCAAACAGG